UACGUAGGGUGCUAGCGUUGUCCGGAAUCAUUGGGCGUAAAGGGUGCGUAGGCGGCGCGGUAAGUCGGGUGUGAAAUCUCGGAGCUUAACUCCGAAACUGCAUUCGAUACUGCCGUGCUUGAGGACUGGAGAGGAGACUGGAAUUUACGGUGUAGCGGUGAAAUGCGUAGAUAUCGGGAGGAACACCUGUGGCGAAAGCGGCUCACUGGACCAUAACUGACGCUGAGGCACGAAAGCGAGGGGAGCAAACAGG
Molecule: ribosomal RNA, 253 nt
Filed under: uncultured bacterium
Lineage: Bacteria
Description: partial 16S ribosomal RNA
Rfam family: Bacterial small subunit ribosomal RNA
Source: RNAcentral